AUGGGCGACGUUCCACCGGUGGUGGUGGUGGCGGCGGCGGAGCUCCACCAUUCUCCCCUGCCCGGCUUCCGGUUCUACCCGACCGACCAAGAGCUCGUCGUCUGCUUCCUCACCCGCAAGGUCCUCGGCCUCCCCAUGGACCUCGACAUCAUCCCCGUGGUGGACUACUGUAGGUUCGAACCCCACCAGCUACCAGACAAGUCCUUCUCACCCAGCACAGACGACCCCGGGGCCAAAGUGGUGUGGUACUUUUUCGCGCCAAGGAGCCGAAAGUACCCAACCGGGCUUCGCAUCAAGCGGGCAACACUGAACGGGUUCUGGAAGUCCACCGGGAAAGACCGCCCCGUCAUGCACAACGGCGCCAUCGUUGGCAUGAAGAAGACGCUCGUGUUCCACGCCGGCCGUGCGCCUACGGGCAUGCGCACCGACUGGGUCAUGCACGAGUACCGCCUCCACGGCGAUCCAAUGCACUUUGUGCCCGACAGCGUUGACAUGAACCCUGAUCUGAUGGAAUACAUGUUUGACGGCGCCAACUCGGACACGUACUUGAACUUCACGCUUGAAGGCAUCAAGACGGACAACGGUCCAAUUGUGAACAAUGAUCUGAUGCAUUUCUUGCUCGACGGGGUCGACACGGACAAGGAUCCCAUACAAGUUGAGUCCAUGUCCGAUGAUGCUGUCGCGGGCAAUGGAGGGGUGCAACUCCUCAGUGGUGGUGGCGACAAGGGCAAGGGAGGAGUGCAAGAAAAUACAGAGGCAUGGAUGACGCUGUUGAUCGUCCACAGAGUGGUUCCCCGAUCGGCGUGGAAGCUAUCGGAGGCAGGAAUCCGGUUCCUGCCCAACAAGACGGGUUGCCUCGACGACAUCGACCUGGACAACGGGAGGCUCUACAUGCCAAAGGUCGUGCUGGACGACUCCACCGCCUACAGGAUCCACAACAUGAUGGUGUUCGAGGCGAUGCAUGUCAGCACCCGCAACGACGUCACGGCGUACGUGUUGUUCAUCAAGGACCUCGUCGACUCUGUGGACGACGUGCGCCUGCUGGAGUGGAAGGGGAUCCUGGAGCAUGACCUCCCGACAACCAUGCCGCUGUGGUGA
Molecule: ribosomal RNA, 1098 nt
Filed under: Triticum aestivum (bread wheat)
Lineage: Eukaryota; Viridiplantae; Streptophyta; Magnoliopsida; Poales; Poaceae
Description: partial small subunit ribosomal RNA
Source: RNAcentral